UUAAGCGACUAAGCGUACACGGUGGAUGCCCUGGCAGUCAGAGGCGAUGAAGGACGUGCUAAUCUGCGAAAAGCGUCGGUAAGGUGAUAUGAACCGUUACAGCCGGCGAUGUCCGAAUGGGGAAACCCAGUGCAAUUCGUUGCACUAUCGUUAACUGAAUACAUAGGUUAACGAGGCGAACCGGGGGAACUGAAACAUCUAAGUACCCCGAGGAAAAGAAAUCAACCGAGAUUCCCCCAGUAGCGGCGAGCGAACGGGGAGCAGCCCAGAGUCUGAAUCAGCUUGUGUGUUAGUGGAACGGUCUGGAAAGUCCGACGGUACAGGGUGAUAGUCCCGUACACCAAAAUGCACAGGCUGUGAACUCGAAGAGUAGGGCGGGACACGUGGUAUCCUGUCUGAAUAUGGGGGGACCAUCCUCCAAGGCUAAAUACUCCUGACUGACCGAUAGUGAACCAGUACCGUGAGGGAAAGGCGAAAAGAACCCCGGCGAGGGGAGUGAAAAAGAACCUGAAACCGUGUACGUACAAGCAGUGGGAGCACCUUCGGGUGUGACUGCGUACCUUUUGUAUAAUGGGUCAGCGACUUAUAUUCUGUAGCAAGGUUAACCGUAUAGGGGAGCCGCAGGGAAACCGAGUCUUAACUGGGCGUUAAGUUGCAGGGUAUAGACCCGAAACCCGGUGAUCUAGCCAUGGGCAGGUUGAAGGUUGGGUAACACUAACUGGAGGACCGAACCGACUAAUGUUGAAAAAUUAGCGGAUGACUUGUGGCUGGGGGUGAAAGGCCAAUCAAACCGGGAGAUAGCUGGUUCUCCCCGAAAGCUAUUUAGGUAGCGCCUCGUGAACUCAUCUUCGGGGGUAGAGCACUGUUUCGGCUAGGGGGUCAUCCCGACUUACCAACCCGAUGCAAACUACGAAUACCGAAGAAUGUUAUCACGGGAGACACACGGCGGGUGCUAACGUCCGUCGUGAAGAGGGAAACAACCCAGACCGCCAGCUAAGGUCCCAAAGUCAUGGUUAAGUGGGAAACGAUGUGGGAAGGCACAGACAGCCAGGAUGUUGGCUUAGAAGCAGCCAUCAUUUAAAGAAAGCGUAAUAGCUCACUGGUCGAGUCGGCCUGCGCGGAAGAUGUAACGGGGCUAAACCAUGCACCGAAGCUGCGGCAGCGACACUAUGUGUUGUUGGGUAGGGGAGCGUUCUGUAAGCCUGCGAAGGUGUGCUGUGAGGCAUGCUGGAGGUAUCAGAAGUGCGAAUGCUGACAUAAGUAACGAUAAAGCGGGUGAAAAGCCCGCUCGCCGGAAGACCAAGGGUUCCUGUCCAACGUUAAUCGGGGCAGGGUGAGUCGACCCCUAAGGCGAGGCCGAAAGGCGUAGUCGAUGGGAAACAGGUUAAUAUUCCUGUACUUGGUGUUACUGCGAAGGGGGGACGGAGAAGGCUAUGUUAGCCGGGCGACGGUUGUCCCGGUUUAAGCAUGUAGGCUGGUUGUCCAGGCAAAUCCGGAUAAUCAAGGCUGAGGUGUGAUGACGAGGCACUACGGUGCUGAAGUAACAAAUGCCCUGCUUCCAGGAAAAGCCUCUAAGCAUCAGGUAACAUCAAAUCGUACCCCAAACCGACACAGGUGGUCAGGUAGAGAAUACCAAGGCGCUUGAGAGAACUCGGGUGAAGGAACUAGGCAAAAUGGUGCCGUAACUUCGGGAGAAGGCACGCUGGUGUGUAGGUGAAGUCCCUGCGGAUGGAGCUGAGACCAGUCGAAGAUACCAGCUGGCUGCAACUGUUUAUUAAAAACACAGCACUGUGCAAACACGAAAGUGGACGUAUACGGUGUGACGCCUGCCCGGUGCCGGAAGGUUAAUUGAUGGGGUUAUCCGUAAGGAGAAGCUCUUGAUCGAAGCCCCGGUAAACGGCGGCCGUAACUAUAACGGUCCUAAGGUAGCGAAAUUCCUUGUCGGGUAAGUUCCGACCUGCACGAAUGGCGUAAUGAUGGCCAGGCUGUCUCCACCCGAGACUCAGUGAAAUUGAACUCGCUGUGAAGAUGCAGUGUACCCGCGGCAAGACGGAAAGACCCCGUGAACCUUUACUAUAGCUUGACACUGAACAUUGAGCCUUGAUGUGUAGGAUAGGUGGGAGGCUUUGAAGCGUGGACGCCAGUCUGCGUGGAGCCAACCUUGAAAUACCACCCUUUAAUGUUUGAUGUUCUAACGUUGGCCCCUGACCGGGGUUGCGGACAGUGUCUGGUGGGUAGUUUGACUGGGGCGGUCUCCUCCCAAAGCGUAACGGAGGAGCACGAAGGUUAGCUAAUCCUGGUCGGACAUCAGGAGGUUAGUGCAAUGGCAUAAGCUAGCUUGACUGCGAGCGUGACGGCGCGAGCAGGUGCGAAAGCAGGUCAUAGUGAUCCGGUGGUUCUGAAUGGAAGGGCCAUCGCUCAACGGAUAAAAGGUACUCCGGGGAUAACAGGCUGAUACCGCCCAAGAGUUCAUAUCGACGGCGGUGUUUGGCACCUCGAUGUCGGCUCAUCACAUCCUGGGGCUGAAGUAGGUCCCAAGGGUAUGGCUGUUCGCCAUUUAAAGUGGUACGCGAGCUGGGUUUAGAACGUCGUGAGACAGUUCGGUCCCUAUCUGCCGUGGGCGCUGGAGAAUUGAGGGGGGCUGCUCCUAGUACGAGAGGACCGGAGUGGACGCAUCACUGGUGUUCGGGUUGUCAUGCCAAUGGCACUGCCCGGUAGCUAAAUGCGGAAGAGAUAAGUGCUGAAAGCAUCUAAGCACGAAACUUGCCCCGAGAUGAGUUCUCCCUGAGACUUUAAGUCUCCUGAAGGAACGUUGAAGACGACGACGUUGAUAGGCCGGGUGUGUAAGCGCAGCGAUGCGUUGAGCUAACCGGUACUAAUGAACCGUGAGGCUUAACCUU
This 2900-nucleotide ribosomal RNA is filed under the name Klebsiella pneumoniae. RNAcentral's name for it is "23S ribosomal RNA". It matches the Rfam family "Bacterial large subunit ribosomal RNA". RNAcentral also lists the same sequence under 1 other name. The record is from RNAcentral. Lineage: Bacteria; Pseudomonadati; Pseudomonadota; Gammaproteobacteria; Enterobacterales; Enterobacteriaceae.